GCCGGGCGUGGUGGUGUGCACCUAUAAUCCCAGCUACUCAGGAGGCUGAGGUGGGAGAAUCGCCUGAGUCCAGGAGUUCUGGGCUGCAGUGCGCUAUGCCCAUAGGGUGUCCGCACUUGCUUCAGCAUCAAUAUGGAGACCUCCCGGGAGCGGGGGAUCAUCAGGUUGCCUAAGGAGCGGUGAACCCGCCCAAGUCAGAACGGAGGAGGUCAAAAAAAUUCUUUUUAAAAAGGAAAGUCAAGGGCCGGGGAUUUAGCUCAGUGGUUCCCCUCCUGCCUCAAAAGCGCAAGGACCCGAGUUU
Fukomys damarensis (Damara mole-rat) is the source of this 301-nucleotide unclassified non-coding RNA. It matches the Rfam family "Metazoan signal recognition particle RNA". Rfam says of the family: The signal recognition particle (SRP) is a universally conserved ribonucleoprotein. It is involved in the co-translational targeting of proteins to membranes. The record is from Ensembl. NCBI's taxonomy places the organism in Eukaryota, Metazoa, Chordata, Mammalia, Rodentia, Bathyergidae.